This is a long non-coding RNA of Athene cunicularia (burrowing owl), 351 nucleotides long. RefSeq lists it as uncharacterized. Lineage: Eukaryota; Metazoa; Chordata; Aves; Strigiformes; Strigidae. The transcript has 3 exons. The record is from RefSeq and is a predicted model, not a curated record.
CCUCGGGGGCGGGGGAGGCCAUUGGCGGGGUCAUCCUGCCUCUCGCUUUGCAGAGUCCGCGGGGAUUGCGUGAAGGACGCGUUCGGACGCUGCGGCGGGUGUUAGAAGGGGAAAGCCUUAACGCCUUGCGGAGUGCGGGCUUGGUUCCGCGGUGUGCUGGGCUGCGUGUUGCUCAUACAAGUCCACAACGUGGGCAUCUGCCUGAUUGACAGUUAGAGUGGGUGAAGCAGGCAAAGCAGAAGUGGAAGGAGAUGCAACACUAGAAGAAGAAGGAAACAAAGAAGAACUCAUUUGCCAAAGAGUUGAAUUCACAAGUCAGAAUAUUGGAUUCUAGAAAGCACGCAUUAAAAG